Molecule: ribosomal RNA, 978 nt
Filed under: Lactiplantibacillus plantarum
Lineage: Bacteria; Bacillati; Bacillota; Bacilli; Lactobacillales; Lactobacillaceae
Description: bacterial SSU rRNA
Rfam family: Bacterial small subunit ribosomal RNA
Source: RNAcentral
AAACAUGGCGCGUGCUAUACAUGCAGUCGAACGAACUCUGGUAUUGAUUGGUGCUUGCAUCAUGAUUUACAUUUGAGUGAGUGGCGAACUGGUGAGUAACACGUGGGAAACCUGCCCAGAAGCGGGGGAUAACACCUGGAAACAGAUGCUAAUACCGCAUAACAACUUGGACCGCAUGGUCCGAGUUUGAAAGAUGGCUUCGGCUAUCACUUUUGGAUGGUCCCGCGGCGUAUUAGCUAGAUGGUGGGGUAACGGCUCACCAUGGCAAUGAUACGUAGCCGACCUGAGAGGGUAAUCGGCCACAUUGGGACUGAGACACGGCCCAAACUCCUACGGGAGGCAGCAGUAGGGAAUCUUCCACAAUGGACGAAAGUCUGAUGGAGCAACGCCGCGUGAGUGAAGAAGGGUUUCGGCUCGUAAAACUCUGUUGUUAAAGAAGAACAUAUCUGAGAGUAACUGUUCAGGUAUUGACGGUAUUUAACCAGAAAGCCACGGCUAACUACGUGCCAGCAGCCGCGGUAAUACGUAGGUGGCAAGCGUUGUCCGGAUUUAUUGGGCGUAAAGCGAGCGCAGGCGGUUUUUUAAGUCUGAUGUGAAAGCCUUCGGCUCAACCGAAGAAGUGCAUCGGAAACUGGGAAACUUGAGUGCAGAAGAGGACAGUGGAACUCCAUGUGUAGCGGUGAAAUGCGUAGAUAUAUGGAAGAACACCAGUGGCGAAGGCGGCUGUCUGGUCUGUAACUGACGCUGAGGCUCGAAAGUAUGGGUAGCAAACAGGAUUAGAUACCCUGGUAGUCCAUACCGUAAACGAUGAAUGCUAAGUGUUGGAGGGUUUCCGCCCUUCAGUGCUGCAGCUAACGCAUUAAGCAUUCCGCCUGGGGAGUACGGCCGCAAGGCUGAAACUCAAAGGAAUUGACGGGGGCCCGCACAAGCGGUGGAGCAUGUGGUUUAAUUCGAAGCUACGCGAAGAACCUUACCAGG